GAACGCUAGCGACAGGCUAACACAUGCAAGUCGAGGGCAUCACGGAGUAGUAAUACAACUGGUGGCGACCGGCGCACGGGUGAGUAACGCGUAUGCAACCUACCUAUCAGAGGGGAAUAACCCGGCGAAAGUCGGACUAAUACCGCAUAAAACAGGGGCACCGCAUGGUGAUAUUUGUUAAAGAAAUUCGCUGAUAGAUGGGCAUGCGUUCCAUUAGGUAGUUGGUGAGGUAACGGCUCACCAAGCCGACGAUGGAUAGGGAACUGAGAGGUUGGUCCCCCACACUGGUACUGAGACACGGACCAGACUCCUACGGGAGGCAGCAGUGAGGAAUAUUGGUCAAUGGGCGGGAGCCUGAACCAGCCAAGUCGCGUGAAGGAAGAAGGAUCUAUGGUUCGUAAACUUCUUUUGCAGGGGAAUAAAGUGCAGGACGUGUCCUGUUUUGUAUGUACCCUGAGAAUAAGGAUCGGCUAACUCCGUGCCAGCCGCCGC
RNAcentral lists this ribosomal RNA (492 nucleotides) under uncultured bacterium. RNAcentral's name for it is "bacterial SSU rRNA". It matches the Rfam family "Bacterial small subunit ribosomal RNA", at positions 31 to 518 of the family's 1533-position model. The record is from RNAcentral.